Molecule: ribosomal RNA, 705 nt
Filed under: Roseovarius sp.
Lineage: Bacteria; Pseudomonadati; Pseudomonadota; Alphaproteobacteria; Rhodobacterales; Roseobacteraceae
Description: bacterial SSU rRNA
Rfam family: Bacterial small subunit ribosomal RNA
Source: RNAcentral
CCGCUACCAUGCAGUCGAGCGAGAUCUUCGGAUCUAGCGGCGGACGGGUGAGUAACGCGUGGGAACGUACCCUCUUCUGCGGGAUAGCCACUGGAAACGGUGAGUAAUACCGCAUACGCCCUUCGGGGGAAAGAUUUAUCGGAGGAGGAUCGGCCCGCGUUGGAUUAGGUAGUUGGUGGGGUAAUGGCCUACCAAGCCUACGAUCCAUAGCUGGUUUUAGAGGAUGAUCAGCCACACUGGGACUGAGACACGGCCCAGACUCCUACGGGAGGCAGCAGUGGGGAAUCUUAGACAAUGGGCGCAAGCCUGAUCUAGCCAUGCCGCGUGAGUGACGAAGGCCUUAGGGUCGUAAAGCUCUUUCGCCUGUGAUGAUAAUGACAGUAGCAGGUAAAGAAACCCCGGCUAACUCCGUGCCAGCAGCCGCGGUAAUACGGAGGGGGUUAGCGUUGUUCGGAAUUACUGGGCGUAAAGCGCACGUAGGCGGAUUGGAAAGUAUGGGGUGAAAUCCCAGGGCUCAACCCUGGAACGGCCUCAUAAACUUCCAGUCUGGAGUUCGAGAGAGGUGAGUGGAAUUCCGAGUGUAGAGGUGAAAUUCGUAGAUAUUCGGAGGAACACCAGUGGCGAAGGCGGCUCACUGGCUCGAUACUGACGCUGAGGUGCGAAAGUGUGGGGAGCAAACAGGAUUAGAUACCCUGGUAGUCCACA